GGCCCAGUGGCCUAAUGGGUAAGGCACCAGCCUCGAGAGCUGGGGGUUGUGGGUUCGAGUCCCACCUGGGUCA
This is a transfer RNA of Astyanax mexicanus (Mexican tetra), 73 nucleotides long. It matches the Rfam family "tRNA". Rfam says of the family: Transfer RNA (tRNA) molecules are approximately 80 nucleotides in length. Their secondary structure includes four short double-helical elements and three loops (D, anti-codon, and T loops). Lineage: Eukaryota; Metazoa; Chordata; Actinopteri; Characiformes; Acestrorhamphidae. The record is from Rfam.